GAUGAACGCUAGCUACAGGCUUAACACAUGCAAGUCGAGGGGAAACGGCAUUAAGUGCUUGCACUUUUUGGACGUCGACCGGCGCACGGGUGAGUAACGCGUAUCCAACCUUCCCAUGACUAAGGGAUAACCUGCCGAAAGGCAGACUAAUACCUUAUGGUCUUCACUGACGGCAUCAGAUGUGAAGUACAGAUUUAUCGGUUAUGGAUGGGGAUGCGUCUGAUUAGCUUGUUGGCGGGGUAACGGCCCACCAAGGCAACGAUCAGUAGGGGUUCUGAGAGUAAGGUCCCCCACAUUGGAACUGAGACACGGUCCAAACUCCUACGGGAGGCAGCAGUGAGGAAUAUUGAUCAAUGGGCGAGAGCCUGAACCAGCCAAGUAGCGUGCAGGAUGACGGCCCUAUGGGUUGUAAACUGCUUUUGUAUGGGGAUAAAGUCAAUCACGUGUGAUUGUUUGCAGGUACCAUACGAAUAAGGACCGGCUAAUUCCGUG
Molecule: ribosomal RNA, 492 nt
Filed under: uncultured bacterium
Lineage: Bacteria
Description: partial 16S ribosomal RNA
Rfam family: Bacterial small subunit ribosomal RNA
Source: RNAcentral